UAGAAUCUGGGUUGUGAACUUGUGCUGGGU
This 30-nucleotide non-coding RNA is filed under the name Rattus norvegicus (Norway rat). The record is from RNAcentral. Lineage: Eukaryota; Metazoa; Chordata; Mammalia; Rodentia; Muridae.